UACGUAGGGUGCAAGCGUUGUCCGGAAUUACUGGGCGUAAAGCGCGCGUAGGCGGGUCGUUAAGUCGGGGGUGAAAUCCUGGAGCUCAACUCCAGAACUGCCUUCGAUACUGGCGAUCUUGAGUCCGGGAGAGGUGAGUGGAACUCCGAGUGUAGAGGUGAAAUGCGUAGAGAUCCGGAGGAACCCCAGAGGCGAAGGCGGCGUCCUGGCUCACAACUGACGCUCAUACACGACAGCAUGGGGAGCGAACGGG
Molecule: ribosomal RNA, 253 nt
Filed under: uncultured bacterium
Lineage: Bacteria
Description: partial 16S ribosomal RNA
Rfam family: Bacterial small subunit ribosomal RNA
Source: RNAcentral